UGGGGAAUUUUGGACAAUGGGCGAAAGCCUGAUCCAGCAAUGCCGCGUGUGUGAAGAAGGCCUUCGGGUUGUAAAGCACUUUUGUCCGGAAAGAAAUCCUUGGCUCUAAUACAGUCGGGGGAUGACGGUACCGGAAGAAUAAGCACCGGCUAACUACGUGCCAGCAGCCGCGGUAAUACGUAGGGUGCAAGCGUUAAUCGGAAUUACUGGGCGUAAAGCGUGCGCAGGCGGUUUGCUAAGACCGAUGUGAAAUCCCCGGGGCUCAACCUGGGAACUGCAUUGGGUGACUGGCAGGCUAGAGUAUGGCAGAGGGGGGUAGAAUUCCACGUGUAGCAGUGAAAUGCGUAGAGAUGUGGAGGAAUACCGAUGGCGAAGGCAGCCCCCUGGGCCAAUACUGACGCUCAUGCACGAAAGCGUGGGGGAGCAAAACAGGAUUAGAUACCCCUGGUAGUCCACGCCCUAAACGAUGUCAACUAGUUGUUGGGGAUUCAUUUCCUUAGUAACGUAGCUAACGCGUGAAGUUGACCGCCUGGGGAGUACGGUCGCAAGAUUAAAACUCAAAGGAAUUGACGGGGU
RNAcentral lists this ribosomal RNA (576 nucleotides) under uncultured bacterium. RNAcentral's name for it is "partial 16S ribosomal RNA". It matches the Rfam family "Bacterial small subunit ribosomal RNA", at positions 355 to 919 of the family's 1533-position model. The record is from RNAcentral.